RNAcentral lists this ribosomal RNA (229 nucleotides) under uncultured bacterium. RNAcentral describes it as "partial 16S ribosomal RNA". It matches the Rfam family "Bacterial small subunit ribosomal RNA", at positions 568 to 796 of the family's 1533-position model. The record is from RNAcentral.
UGCGUAGGUGGUAUCGUGUGUCGGAUGUGAAAUCCCAUGGCUCAACUGUGGAACUGCAUUCGAAACUGCGGAACUAGAGUACAGGAGGGGAGAGCGGAAUUCUUGGUGUAGCGGUGAAAUGCGUUGAUAUCAAGAAGAACACCGGUGGCGAAGGCGGCUCUCUGGAAUGUUACUGACACUGAGGCACGAAAGCUGGGGGAGCGAACAGGAUUAGAUACCCUGGUAGUCC